UUAAUUGAAGAGUUUGAUCAUGGCUCAGAUUGAACGCUGGCGGCAGGCCUAACACAUGCAAGUCGAGCGGUAACAGAGAGGUGCUUGCACCUUUGCUGACGAGCGGCGGACGGGUGAGUAAUGCUUGGGAACAUGCCUUGAGGUGGGGGACAACAGUUGGAAACGACUGCUAAUACCGCAUAAUGUCUACGGACCAAAGGGGGCUUCGGCUCUCGCCUUUAGAUUGGCCCAAGUGGGAUUAGCUAGUUGGUGAGGUAAUGGCUCACCAAGGCGACGAUCCCUAGCUGGUUUGAGAGGAUGAUCAGCCACACUGGGACUGAGACACGGCCCAGACUCCU
Molecule: ribosomal RNA, 338 nt
Filed under: Pseudoalteromonas tetraodonis
Lineage: Bacteria; Pseudomonadati; Pseudomonadota; Gammaproteobacteria; Alteromonadales; Pseudoalteromonadaceae
Description: bacterial SSU rRNA
Rfam family: Bacterial small subunit ribosomal RNA
Source: RNAcentral